UACGUAGGGUGCGAGCGUUGUCCGGAAUUAUUGGGCUUAAAGGGCGCGUAGGCGGGCUGCCGCGUCCGGGGUGAAAUCCCACGGCUCAACCGUGGAACUGCCUCGGAUACGGGCGGUCUCGAGGGGGGUAGGGGCACGCGGAACUGUGGGUGGAGCGGUGAAAUGCGUUGAUAUCCACAGGAACUCCGGUGGCGAAGGCGGCGUGCUGGACCCCAUCUGACGCUGAGGCGCGAAAGCCAGGGGAGCAAACGGG
RNAcentral lists this ribosomal RNA (253 nucleotides) under uncultured bacterium. RNAcentral describes it as "partial 16S ribosomal RNA". It matches the Rfam family "Bacterial small subunit ribosomal RNA", at positions 524 to 776 of the family's 1533-position model. The record is from RNAcentral.